Molecule: transfer RNA, 66 nt
Filed under: Coenomyia ferruginea
Lineage: Eukaryota; Metazoa; Arthropoda; Insecta; Diptera; Xylophagidae
Description: tRNA-Asn
Source: RNAcentral
UUAAUUGAAGCCAAAUCAGAGGCAUAUCAUUGUUAAUGAUAAUAUUGAAUAAUUAUUCCAAUUAAG